GUAGGGAAUAUUGGUCAAUGGACGAAAGUCUGAACCAGCCAUUCCGCGUGCAGGAAGAAGAUUCUAUGGAUUGUAAACUGCUUUUAGCAGAGAAGAAACGCCUUCAUUGAUGAGGGUUUGACGGUAUCUGCGGAAUAAGCACCGGCUAACUCCGUGCCAGCAGCCGCGGUAAUACGGGGGGUGCAAGCGUUAUCCGGAAUCACUGGGUUUAAAGGGUGCGUAGGCGGGAAAUUAAGUCAGUGGUGAAAGUCUGUUGCUUAACGAUAGAAUUGCCGUGUAUACUGAUUUUCUUGAAUUGGGUUGAGGUUAGCGGAAUGUGACAUGUAGCGGUGAAAUGCAUAGAUAUGUCAUGGAACACCAAUUGCGAAGGCAGCUAGCUGGGCCUUGAUUGACGCUGAGGCACGAAAGCGUGGGUAGCGAACAGGAUUAGAAACCCCAGUAGUCC
RNAcentral lists this ribosomal RNA (445 nucleotides) under uncultured bacterium. RNAcentral's name for it is "partial 16S ribosomal RNA". It matches the Rfam family "Bacterial small subunit ribosomal RNA", at positions 354 to 796 of the family's 1533-position model. The record is from RNAcentral.